Small nuclear RNA from Peromyscus leucopus (white-footed mouse), 107 nucleotides. NCBI's taxonomy places the organism in Eukaryota, Metazoa, Chordata, Mammalia, Rodentia, Cricetidae. The record is from RefSeq and is a predicted model, not a curated record.
GUGCUGGCUUCAGCAGCACAUAUACUAAAAUUAGAAUGAUACAGAGAAGGUUAGCAUGGCCCCUGCACAAGGAUGACAUGCAAAUUCAUGAAGUGUUUCCCAUAUAU